AGGGGAAUAUUGCACAAUGGGCGCAAGCCUGAUGCAGCCAUGCCGCGUGUAUGAAGAAGGCCUUCGGGUUGUAAAGUACUUUCAGCGGGGAGGAAGGUGUUGAGGUUAAUAACCUCAGCAAUUGACGUUACCCGCAGAAGAAGCACCGGCUACCUCCGUGCCAGCAGCCGCGGUAAUACGGAGGGUGCAAGCGUUAAUCGGAAUUACUGGGCGUAAAGCGCACGCAGGCGGUCUGUCAAGUCGGAUGUGAAAUCCCCGGGCUCAACCUGGGAACUGCAUUCGAAACUGGCAGGCUAGAGUCUUGUAGAGGGGGGUAGAAUUCCAGGUGUAGCGGUGAAAUGCGUAGAGAUCUGGAGGA
Molecule: ribosomal RNA, 358 nt
Filed under: uncultured bacterium
Lineage: Bacteria
Description: partial 16S ribosomal RNA
Rfam family: Bacterial small subunit ribosomal RNA
Source: RNAcentral